CUACGGGAUGCAGCAGUGGGGAAUAUUGCACAAUGGGCGCAAGCCUGAUGCAGCAACGCCGCGUGAGGGAUGAAGGCCUUCGGGUUGUAAACCUCUUUUAGCAGGGAAGAAGCGAAAGUGACGGUACCUGCAGAAAAAGCACCGGCUAACUACGUGCCAGCAGCCGCGGUAAUACGUAGGGUGCAAGCGUUGUCCGGAAUUAUUGGGCGUAAAGAGCUCGUAGGCGGUUUGUCACGUCUGCUGUGAAAAUCCAAGGCUCAACCUUGGACUUGCAGUGGGUACGGGCAGGCUAGAGUGCGGUAGGGGAGAUGGGAAUUCCUGGUGUAGCGGUGGAAUGCGCAGAUAUCAGGAGGAACACCAAUGGCGAAGGCACAUCUCUGGGCCGUAACUGACGCUGAGGAGCGAAAGCGUGGGGAGCGAACAGGAUUAGAUACCCUAGUAGUC
RNAcentral lists this ribosomal RNA (444 nucleotides) under uncultured bacterium. RNAcentral describes it as "partial 16S ribosomal RNA". It matches the Rfam family "Bacterial small subunit ribosomal RNA", at positions 339 to 795 of the family's 1533-position model. The record is from RNAcentral.